AUACGGAGGAUGCGAGCGUUAUCCGGAUUUAUUGGGUUUAAAGGGUGCGUAGGCUGUGCGUUAAGUCAGGGGUGAAAUGCCGUCGCUCAACGACGGAGCUGCCCUUGAUACUGGCGUGCUGGAGUACGGAUGCCGUUGGAGGAAUGAGUGGUGUAGCGGUGAAAUGCUUAGAUAUCACUCAGAACACCGAUUGCGAAGGCAUCUGACGAAUCCGUCACUGACGCCGAGGCACGAAAGCGUGGGGAUAGAACAGGAUUAGAUACCCUGGUAUUCCACGCCGUAAACGAUGAUGACUAACCGUCGGCGAUAGACAGCCGGUGGCCAAGCGAAAGCGAUAAGUCAUCCACCUGGGGAGUACGUCGGCAACGAUGAAACUCAAAUGAAUUGGCGGGG
RNAcentral lists this ribosomal RNA (393 nucleotides) under uncultured bacterium. Its description in RNAcentral is "partial 16S ribosomal RNA". It matches the Rfam family "Bacterial small subunit ribosomal RNA", at positions 523 to 918 of the family's 1533-position model. The record is from RNAcentral.